This 74-nucleotide transfer RNA is filed under the name archaeon. RNAcentral describes it as "tRNA-Asp". It matches the Rfam family "tRNA". From Rfam's summary of the family: Transfer RNA (tRNA) molecules are approximately 80 nucleotides in length. The record is from RNAcentral.
GGUACUUUGGUGUAGAGGCCUAACAUGCCACACUGUCACUGUGGAGACCACGAGUUCGAAUCUCGUAAGUACCG